GGAUUGUGGCUCAGUGGCAGAGCACUUGCCUCACAUGUAUGAGGCACUGGGUUCGAUCCUCAGCACCA
RNAcentral lists this transfer RNA (68 nucleotides) under Marmota monax (woodchuck). RNAcentral describes it as "tRNA.Val". The stretch from base 5 to 65 matches the Rfam family "tRNA", at positions 6 to 65 of the family's 71-position model. Rfam says of the family: Transfer RNA (tRNA) molecules are approximately 80 nucleotides in length. The record is from RNAcentral. Lineage: Eukaryota; Metazoa; Chordata; Mammalia; Rodentia; Sciuridae.